Molecule: ribosomal RNA, 476 nt
Filed under: soil bacterium 12V-15
Lineage: Bacteria
Description: bacterial SSU rRNA
Rfam family: Bacterial small subunit ribosomal RNA
Source: RNAcentral
GGAUGAACGCUGGCGGCGUGCCUAAUACAUGCAAGUCGAGCGAAUGGAUUAAGAGCUUGCUCUUAUGAANUUAGCGGCGGACGGGUGAGUAACACGUGGGUAACCUGCCCAUAAGACUGGGAUAACUCCGGGAAACCGGGGCUAAUACCGGAUAACAUUUUGCACCGCAUGGUGCGAAAUUCAAAGGCGGCUUCGGCUGUCACUUAUGGAUGGACCCGCGUCGCAUUAGCUAGUUGGUGAGGUAACGGCUCACCAAGGCAACGAUGCGUAGCCGACCUGAGAGGGUGAUCGGCCACACUGGGACUGAGACACGGCCCAGACUCCUACGGGAGGCAGCAGUAGGGAAUCUUCCGCAAUGGACGAAAGUCUGACGGAGCAACGCCGCGUGAGUGAUGAAGGCUUUCGGGUCGUAAAACUCUGUUGUUAGGGAAGAACAAGUGCUAGUUGAAUAAGCUGGCACCUGACGGUACCUAACC